GCGGGAGUGGUGGAAUUGGUAGACACGCUGGAUUUAGGUUCCAGUGUUGAAAGACGUGAGAGUUCGAGUCUCUCCUUCCGCACCA
This 85-nucleotide transfer RNA is filed under the name Abyssogena phaseoliformis symbiont OG214. Its description in RNAcentral is "tRNA-Leu". It matches the Rfam family "tRNA". From Rfam's summary of the family: Transfer RNA (tRNA) molecules are approximately 80 nucleotides in length. Their secondary structure includes four short double-helical elements and three loops (D, anti-codon, and T loops). Lineage: Bacteria; Pseudomonadati; Pseudomonadota; Gammaproteobacteria. RNAcentral also lists the same sequence under 5 other names. The record is from RNAcentral.